This 116-nucleotide ribosomal RNA is filed under the name Micromesistius poutassou (blue whiting). RNAcentral's name for it is "partial 12S ribosomal RNA". The record is from RNAcentral. Lineage: Eukaryota; Metazoa; Chordata; Actinopteri; Gadiformes; Gadidae.
CUAUAUACCGCCGUCGUCAGCUUACCCUGUGAAGGAAAAAUAGUAAGCAUAAAUGGCAAAGCCAAAAACGUCAGGUCGAGGUGUAGCGUAUGGGGUGGGAAGAAAUGGGCUACAUU